ACUCCCCCCGAACACGUCCAUCGUUCCAUCCGUGUCUGGAGACUUGUUCACACUGGUGUGUAGAAGUGACUCCAACCCCAACAGCUCUUACACCUGGUACAAGAAAACAGAAGGAGAUGUGAUACUGAUUGAAAAUGGCACCAAUUUAACUUUAUCCUCGAGAGCAGAUGGAUUUUACUACUGUACAGCAAGCAAUGGAUUUGGAUCAUCCAAUUCAUCAGAAUGGCCAUGUACAUCAGAUACAGAUAACAGUGUCGUAAAUACGCCGCUUCUGGAGUCACUGUUGCGUUGGUUCUGUUGGUUCUGUUGUUCAUUGCGGUCUUUCUGUGGAUACGGAGAAGAGCGUCGUUGUUCAGUAACAGGAGUGAGGAUAACAGCAUGAACAACUCUGCCCCUGUGUAUGGUAACGUCUCAGCCAUGACCUCUGACCCCACACAAACAGCCUCCUCAGAAGAUCAGGACAACCUUCAGUACUCCAGUGUU
Molecule: long non-coding RNA, 483 nt
Organism: Ictalurus punctatus (channel catfish)
Lineage: Eukaryota; Metazoa; Chordata; Actinopteri; Siluriformes; Ictaluridae
Source: Ensembl